GACGAACGCUGGCGGCGUGCUUAACACAUGCAAGUCGAACGACGUGGCGAACGGGUGAGUAACGCGUAAACAACCUGCCCUUCAGAGGGUGACAACAGUUAAAAACGACUGCUAAUACCUCAUACUGUAGCAGGGGGUUGCGUCUGAUUAGCUAGUUGGCGGGGUAACGGCCCACCAAGGCGAUGAUCAGUAGCCGGUCUGGGAGGAUGAACGGCCACAUUGGGACUGGGAAACGGCCCAGACUCCUACGGGAGGCAGCAGUGGGGAAUCUUCCGCAAUGGACGAAAGGCUGACGGAGCAACGCCGCGGGAGUGAUGACGGCCUUCGGGUUGUAAAGCUAUGUUAAUCGGGACGCGGUACCGGAAGAGAAAGCCACGGCUAACUACGUGCCAGCAGCCGCGGUAAUAC
Molecule: ribosomal RNA, 408 nt
Filed under: uncultured bacterium
Lineage: Bacteria
Description: partial 16S ribosomal RNA
Rfam family: Bacterial small subunit ribosomal RNA
Source: RNAcentral